This is a non-coding RNA of Arachis ipaensis, 383 nucleotides long. The record is from RefSeq and is a predicted model, not a curated record. NCBI's taxonomy places the organism in Eukaryota, Viridiplantae, Streptophyta, Magnoliopsida, Fabales, Fabaceae.
UGAUAUCAUUGUUUGAGUGUUGGAGAAGAUGAUGAGGAGCACUUGCCAAGGGAAGCUGCAACAGAUCUCAUUCACAUGGAACUUGGAAGUUUAGAUAGGAAUCCAAAUCGAACUAGAUCUGGAAAGGUUCCACACUGGUGUCGUUGUGAAAUGCGUCCCAUUCUUCGUUGGUCUGGAACAGAAGCAAAUCCAGAGAGACUAUUUUUGGAUGUCCAAACUAUAAUAUGGUGUGGAUUUUUUGUGUGGACAAAUAACAUGGAAGAAGAAGACAUGACUGGCAGACAUGAAACUGAAAAUAGCAUUGAGUAUUGGAAGAUGAACGUGGGUUGGAAGAUUAGUGCAAUAGAAGCUGAAAUUAGGAUUUUAAAAGUAUGGAAUAGUAU